This 514-nucleotide ribosomal RNA is filed under the name uncultured bacterium. Its description in RNAcentral is "bacterial SSU rRNA". It matches the Rfam family "Bacterial small subunit ribosomal RNA", at positions 15 to 518 of the family's 1533-position model. The record is from RNAcentral.
GAUCCUGGCUCAGGAUGAACGCUAGCUACAGGCUUAACACAUGCAAGUCGAGGGGCAGCAUUGGGAUAGCUUGCUAUUCAGAUGGCGACCGGCGCACGGGUGAGUAACGCGUAUCCAACCUUCCUGCCAGUAGGGAACAGCCCGGCGAAAGUCGGAUUAAUGCCCUAUGUUCUUCAAUGCGGACAUCUAAGUUGAAGGAAAGAUUCAUCGCUGGCAGAUGGGGAUGCGUCCGAUUAGCUUGCCGGCGGGGUAACGGCCCACCGGGGCGACGAUCGGUAGGGGUUCUGAGAGGAAGGUCCCCCACACUGGUACUGAGACACGGACCAGACUCCUACGGGAGGCAGCAGUGAGGAAUAUUGGUCAAUGGGCGUAAGCCUGAACCAGCCAAGUAGCGUGCAAGGAUGACGGCCCUACGGGUUGUAAACUGCUUUUAUGCGGGGAUAAAGUGCGGCACGUGUGCCGCUUUGCAGGUACCGCAUGAAUAAGGACCGGCUAAUUCCGUGCCAGCCGCGGC